UGGGGAAUAUUGCACAAUGGGCGCAAGCCUGAUGCAGCAACGCCGCGUGAACGAUGAAGGUCUUCGGAUCGUAAAGCUCUGUUGUAGUGGAAGAUAAUGACGGUACCCUGUGAGGUAGCCCCGGCUAACUACGCGCCAGCAGCCGCGGUAAUACGUCGGGGGCUAGCGUUAUCCGGAUUUACUGGGCGUAAAGGGUGCGUACGUGGUCUUUCAAGUCGGUGUUUAAAGGCUACGGCUCAACCGUAGUUAGCCUCCGAAACUUGACGACUUUGGUGCAGGGGAAGAAACUGGAAUUCCCAGUGUAGCGGUGACAUGCGUGGAGAUUGGGAAGAACACCAGUAGCGAGUGCGGCCUGCGGAACAGCAACUAACAAUGAGGAACGAAAGCGUGGGUAGUAAACAGG
This 403-nucleotide ribosomal RNA is filed under the name Verrucomicrobiota bacterium. RNAcentral describes it as "Verrucomicrobia bacterium partial 16S ribosomal RNA". It matches the Rfam family "Bacterial small subunit ribosomal RNA", at positions 355 to 776 of the family's 1533-position model. The record is from RNAcentral. Lineage: Bacteria; Pseudomonadati; Verrucomicrobiota.